UACGGAGGGUGCGAGCGUUAUCCGGAAUUACUGGGUUUAAAGGGUGCGUAGGCGGCCUAUUAAGUCAGUGGUGAAAUAUCUCAGCUUAACUGAGAAGGUGCCAAUGAUACUGAUGGGCUUGAGUACAGAUGAGGUAGGCGGAAUUGACGGUGUAGCGGUGAAAUGCUUAGAUAUCGUCAAGAACACCUAUAGCGAAGGCAGCUUACUAGGCCGUAACUGACGCUGAGGCACGAAAGUGUGGGGAUCAAACAGG
RNAcentral lists this ribosomal RNA (253 nucleotides) under uncultured bacterium. RNAcentral describes it as "partial 16S ribosomal RNA". It matches the Rfam family "Bacterial small subunit ribosomal RNA", at positions 524 to 776 of the family's 1533-position model. The record is from RNAcentral.